AUGGCGAACACCACCAAGGUCGCGGCGAUCUUCGGCGUCCUUGUUCUCCUGCAGGUGUCGUGCGCCGCCGGCCGCCACGUCCAGGUCAAGGACUCCGGUGAGCGCGUCCACGACGCCCCGGCGGUGAUGUCGCUGACCGACUUCCACAGCGGGCCAGCGGCGUGCGACGGCAAGUCCCACAGCAACGACCUCCUCCUGGCGUCGCUGACCUCGGCGUGGUACGGCGGGGGCAUCCGGUGCGGCAAGAUGAUCCGCAUCGUGACCACGCGCGGGGUCGCCGUGGAGGCCAUGGUCGUGGAGGAGUGCGACAUCGAGCAGGGCUGCGGCGAGCACGAGAUCAGCACGUCGGCCGCCGUGUGGAAGGCCCUCGGCGUCGACGUCGGCAUAGGCGAGUUGCCCGUCACCUGGUCGGAUCUCGACUGA
RNAcentral lists this ribosomal RNA (423 nucleotides) under Triticum aestivum (bread wheat). RNAcentral's name for it is "partial small subunit ribosomal RNA". Lineage: Eukaryota; Viridiplantae; Streptophyta; Magnoliopsida; Poales; Poaceae. The record is from RNAcentral.